AAGGCUUGACCUCAAAUCAGGUAGGACUACCCGCUGAACUUAAGCAUAUCAUAG
Molecule: ribosomal RNA, 54 nt
Filed under: Pisolithus tinctorius
Lineage: Eukaryota; Fungi; Basidiomycota; Agaricomycetes; Boletales; Pisolithaceae
Description: partial 28S ribosomal RNA
Source: RNAcentral